GACGAACGCUGGCGGCGUGCUUAAUACAUGCAAGUCGAACGGAAAGGCCCUGCUUUUGUGGGGUGCUCGAGUGGCGAACGGGUGAGUAACACGUGAGUAACCUGCCCUUGACUUUGGGAUAACUUCAGGAAACUGGGGCUAAUACCGGAUAGGAGCUCCUGCUGCAUGGUGGGGGUUGGAAAGUUUCGGCGGGUGGGGAUGGACUCGCGGCUUAUCAGCUUGUUGGUGGGGUAGUGGCUUACCAAGGCUUUGACGGGUAGCCGGCCUGAGAGGGUGACCGGCCACAUUGGGACUGAGAUACGGCCCAGACUCCUACGGGAGGCAGGAGUGGGGAAUAGUGCACAAUGGGCGGAAGCCUGAUGCAGCAACGCCGCGUGCGGGAUGACGGCCUUCGGGUUGUAAACCGCUUUCGCCUGUGACGAAGCGUGAGUGACGGUAAUGGGUAAAGAAGCACCGGCUAACUACGUG
Molecule: ribosomal RNA, 468 nt
Filed under: uncultured bacterium
Lineage: Bacteria
Description: partial 16S ribosomal RNA
Rfam family: Bacterial small subunit ribosomal RNA
Source: RNAcentral